UGAGGAAUAUUGGUCAAUGGACGAGAGUCUGAACCAGCCAAGUAGCGUGAAGGAUGACUGCCCUAUGGGUUGUAAACUUCUUUUAUACGGGAAUAAAGUGAGGCACGUGUGCCUUUUUGUAUGUACCGUAUGAAUAAGGAUCGGCUAACUCCGUGCCAGCAGCCGCGGUAAUACGGAGGAUCCGAGCGUUAUCCGGAUUUAUUGGGUUUAAAGGGAGCGUAGGCGGACGCUUAAGUCAGUUGUGAAAGUUUGCGGCUCAACCGUAAAAUUGCAGUUGAUACUGGGUGUCUUGAGUACAGUAGAGGCAGGCGGAAUUCGUGGUGUAGCGGUGAAAUGCUUAGAUAUCACGAAGAACUCCGAUUGCGAAGGCAGCUUGCUGGACUGUAACUGACGCUGAUGCUCGAAAGUGUGGGUAUCAAACAGGAUUAGAUACCCUGGUAGUCCACACAGUAAACGAUGAAUACUCGCUGUUUGCGAUAUACAGUAAGCGGCCAAGCGAAAGCGUUAAGUAUUCCACCUGGGGAGUACGCCGGCAACGGUGAAACUCAAAGGAAUUGACGGGGGCCCGCACAAGCGGCGGAACAUGUGGUUUAAUUCGAUGAUACGCGAGGAACCUUACCCGGGCUUGAAUUGCAACUGAAUGAUGUGGAGACAUGUCAGCCGCAAGGCAGUUGUGAAGGUGCUGCAUGGUUGUCGUCAGCUCGUGCCGUGAGGUGUCGGCUUAAGUGCCAUAACGAGCGCAACCCUUAUCGAUAGUUACCAUCAGGUUAUGCUGGGGACUCUGUCGAGACUGCCGUCGUAAGAUGUGAGGAAGGUGGGGAUGACGUCAAAUCAGCACGGCCCUUACGUCCGGGGCUACACACGUGUUACAAUGGGGGGUACAGAAGGCAGCUACACGGCGACGUGAUGCUAAUCCCUAAAGCCUCUCUCAGUUCGGAUUGGAGUCUGCAACCCGACUCCAUGAAGCUGGAUUCGCUAGUAAUCGCGCAUCAGCCACGGCGCGGUGAAUACGUUCCC
This 1017-nucleotide ribosomal RNA is filed under the name uncultured bacterium. RNAcentral's name for it is "bacterial SSU rRNA". It matches the Rfam family "Bacterial small subunit ribosomal RNA", at positions 355 to 1375 of the family's 1533-position model. The record is from RNAcentral.